AAGUCGUAACAAGGUUUCCGUAGGUGAACCUGCGGAAGGAUCAUUAUUAUUUGGGUCGGGUUUACUUCUAGUAACUUAGUAACUUUGUUUCAGUCGCUGUCUUAGUAUAUAGAAGUAAACUUUUACCAAAUAAAUCCUAUAUUUUCUCCUAUAGGAGCAAGAUGAACAUAUUUAAAACCCACACUUUGAAUGUAUUAUAUAUAUUUGUUUUGAAUGAUAAAAAUUAAAGAUCACUUUCAACAACGGAUCUCUUGGCUCUC
This 260-nucleotide unclassified non-coding RNA is filed under the name Dominikia iranica. RNAcentral describes it as "partial internal transcribed spacer region". The stretch from base 1 to 46 matches the Rfam family "Eukaryotic small subunit ribosomal RNA", at positions 1786 to 1831 of the family's 1831-position model. The record is from RNAcentral. Lineage: Eukaryota; Fungi; Glomeromycota; Glomeromycetes; Glomerales; Glomeraceae.